CUUAUGGAUGGCGAAGUGGUUAACGCACCUGAUUGUGGUUCAGGCAUUCGUGGGUUCGAUUCCCAUCAUCCGCCC
Molecule: transfer RNA, 75 nt
Filed under: Listeria monocytogenes
Lineage: Bacteria; Bacillati; Bacillota; Bacilli; Caryophanales; Listeriaceae
Description: tRNA-His(gtg)
Rfam family: tRNA (bases 6-72)
About the family: Transfer RNA (tRNA) molecules are approximately 80 nucleotides in length.
Source: RNAcentral